AGCAGCAGCAGGGGAAGUCCCUGCAACUCACUGCGGUGCCUCGUCUCCUCCCCUCCCUGGUAUCAGCAAUAAGGUCAGAAGAACAUGUGCCGAGCAGUGAUUGGAGGAGCUCGGCACAUGCUGAUUAGAAGAGCCCCUGAUUGGAGGAGCUGUCACAUGCUCCUCUGACCCCUGAAACACGGAGGAUGUCACACAGCAUGGCCCUUGUCUAAAUAUGGCGUGAGAGGUACAGUCCCCAUUACCGACAAUGGGCACCUAGCAAAGCCUAUCGAGCUUCAGUGAAGCCUUUCCUUGGCUGAUGCCUGGAGACAACCGUCGCACAUAGCUGACAGCAGUAGAAGGCUCAGAAGAGGACACCACCUAAGAGGUUGACACCGCCGGACCUCGCAGGACAGAUCCCCCUCCCCGGCCGGAGAAGGGGACGCAGCAGCAUUCACUACAGACAGUCCGCUCACGUGACACCGCACGUGACGCGUGAACCAGGAAGUGGCAGACGGGACCCGUGGACGGAGGAGACCGGCGGCUGCUGGGGCCGUGCACGGACCAAAGGAGACGGAGGACACUGACGAAGAGGACCGAAGCCUGAGGUUGUGGAAGGAAGAGACGCGGUCACCGGCGGCAGGCAGAGACCUGCCCCCAGCGGUUUUACAUUGAUGGUUCAUCUACAGCACCUUCGUCUGAUGUACAUGGCAAAUUGCUAUGAGAAAUAUCUGCACAUAAAUGUUCUAGCUACAUUAUUCAUUCAGCUGUGAAGGCGAAUUGAAGCUACUGUAAGACACACGGAACCAGUCCCUAUCUCAAUUUACUCUACAAUGUACACUAUUAUAUUCCCCCUCCAGGUCCACUGAGAUGGUAAAGUAUGAACAAGUCGGUAUCAGUGAAAAAAAUCAUGAAAAACUCAUGUCGACUUUUUGACCUGUCAACAUUUUAAAAGUCAGUGUUUUGACCUAGUCUGUAUUUUAAAUGUCGGUAUUUUGACCAUGUCGGGAUGUUGACCUCGGUCAAUGGUUAUCGGUAUUUUGACCGUCGGGUUCUUGAUUGUAGGUACAUUGACCGCAUUCCAGUCUACUGUGCAGUAUGAACAUCGCCUGUGGUGAGUAGGAAAGCUCCCAGGCUCUUGAGAUUAUUUUGACUAAGGACUUCUCUGCUCACCACACUGACGUGCUGACUAAGGGGUCUAUUCAUGAAGC
Long non-coding RNA from Pseudophryne corroboree (corroboree frog), 1190 nucleotides. RefSeq lists it as uncharacterized. The transcript is spliced from 4 exons. NCBI's taxonomy places the organism in Eukaryota, Metazoa, Chordata, Amphibia, Anura, Myobatrachidae. The record is from RefSeq and is a predicted model, not a curated record.